Non-coding RNA from Bacillus sp. FJAT-21945, 134 nucleotides. Lineage: Bacteria; Bacillati; Bacillota; Bacilli; Caryophanales; Bacillaceae. The record is from Rfam.
GAGGAAAAGAAGAAGCACCCGCUUCUCACCUGAUUGACGCUUAUGUCAGCUGUUAGCAGGUUUUACGUGAACAUUUUUUAAGUUUAAAUUUGUCCGUAAAGUGUGGGUGUUUUCAUCCACACUUUUUUUAUUUG